This 261-nucleotide long non-coding RNA is filed under the name Nicotiana benthamiana. RNAcentral describes it as "long non-coding RNA (NBEN_LNC042214)". The record is from RNAcentral. Lineage: Eukaryota; Viridiplantae; Streptophyta; Magnoliopsida; Solanales; Solanaceae.
AUGGGAUCACGAGCUCGACGAUCUAAUUUCGUACCUUGAUUCGACAUAACCCGAACUCGAGCUUUGAGCUGCCAUGUUUCAACCUUGAUUGGGCACUCAAUAGGGGAAUUCGAUUUCGACCGUAUACAGAAUAAAUUAUGAGAAUGUGAACAUAGGUCGAUUCUUGGAAUAUGACAAGGGCUGCGUCGCUAAUGGUACACCUCCAAUAAUGCCGAAUUCUCACUGCACCGACCACCGUCUCCACAAGGUUCUUACUUUUAC